Molecule: ribosomal RNA, 620 nt
Filed under: uncultured bacterium
Lineage: Bacteria
Description: bacterial SSU rRNA
Rfam family: Bacterial small subunit ribosomal RNA
Source: RNAcentral
GAGUGAAGAAGGCCUUCGGGUUGUAAAGCUCUUUUGUCAGGGAAGAAACGGUGCGGGCUAAUAUCCUGCACUAAUGACGGUACCUGAAGAAUAAGCACCGGCUAACUACGUGCCAGCAGCCGCGGUAAUACGUAGGGUGCAAGCGUUAAUCGGAAUUACUGGGCGUAAAGCGUGCGCAGGCGGUUUUGUAAGUCUGUCGUGAAAUCCCCGGGCUCAACCUGGGAAUUGCGAUGGAGACUGCAAGGCUAGAAUCUGGCAGAGGGGGGUAGAAUUCCACGUGUAGCAGUGAAAUGCGUAGAGAUGUGGAGGAAUACCGAUGGCGAAGGCAGCCCCCUGGGAUAACACUGACGCUCAUGCACGAAAGCGUGGGGAGCAAACAGGAUUAGAUACCCUGGUAGUCCACGCCCUAAACGAUGUCUACUAGUUGUCGGGACUUAAUUGUCUUGGUAACGCAGCUAACGCGUGAAGUAGACCGCCUGGGGAGUACGGUCGCAAGAUUAAAACUCAAAGGAAUUGACGGGGACCCGCACAAGCGGUGGAUGAUGUGGAUUAAUUCGAUGCAACGCGAAAAACCUUACCUACCCUUGACAUGUACGGAAGCCACGAGAGAUCGAGGUGUG